RNAcentral lists this ribosomal RNA (442 nucleotides) under uncultured bacterium. RNAcentral's name for it is "partial 16S ribosomal RNA". It matches the Rfam family "Bacterial small subunit ribosomal RNA", at positions 338 to 795 of the family's 1533-position model. The record is from RNAcentral.
CCUACGGGCGGCAGCAGUGGGGAAUAUUGGGCAAUGGGCGCAAGCCUGACCCAGCAACGCCGCGUGAAGGAAGAAGGCUUUCGGGUUGUAAACUUCUUUUGUCAGGGAAGAGUAGAAGACGGUACCUGACGAAUAAGCCACGGCUAACUACGUGCCAGCAGCCGCGGUAAUACGUAGGUGGCAAGCGUUGUCCGGAUUUACUGGGUGUAAAGGGCGUGUAGCCGGGUUGACAAGUCAGAUGUGAAAUCCUGCGGCUUAACCCCCGAACUGCAUUUGAAACUGUUGGUCUUGAGUAUCGGAGAGGCAGGCGGAAUUCGUAGGGUAGCGGUGAAAUGCGUAGAUAUUAGGAGGAACACCAGUGGCGAAGGCGGCCGGCUGGACGACAACUGACGGUGAGGCGCGAAAGCGUGGGGAGCAAACAGGAUUAGAUACCCCUGUAGUC